GUGUUUUGAGUAUAGGAAAAUAAAAAUGAAAAAUGUUCUGUAAAUUUGGACUCCGGAGAAAAUUGUUUUACUGUGAUCUAUUCGGUUAUUUUUGCAUAGAAAUAAUGCAACGUUUGUCGUGAGAAUUCGAGUGUUUGAAUCAAGUGAUAGUGAUUCUACGUGAAACCGGCAUUUUUUAUUAAAAUUGUGCGUUAUCCAUUAGGUGACGUGCGUGCCGAAAAGUUCAACUCGGCAGCCCCAGACCGGAGUUAUUUCAGAUCUCUUCAAAACCGCACAUCCCGACAUCGUUCCGUCGCGGCACCAAACUGUACCCUGUUGGGGUGGUGCUGGUAGUUGUGACCGGAAUCGUGACCCAUACAGCUGCACCGCUGGAAACGGUACGACCACCAGCAGCAAAGUGACAGCUCCUCUUGGGCGAU
This is a long non-coding RNA of Armigeres subalbatus, 419 nucleotides long. RefSeq lists it as uncharacterized. The transcript is spliced from 2 exons. The record is from RefSeq and is a predicted model, not a curated record. NCBI's taxonomy places the organism in Eukaryota, Metazoa, Arthropoda, Insecta, Diptera, Culicidae.